GAAUCCCGUCUUUGGCACGGACACACCAGGGCUUUUGUGAUGCGCUCUCGAAGAGUCGAGUUGUUUGGGAAUGCAGCUCAAAAUGGGUGGUGAACUCCAUCUAAAGCUAAAUAUUGGCGAGAGACCGAUAGCGAACAAGUACCGUGAGGGAAAGAUGAAAAGCACUUUGGAAAGAGAGUGAAACGGUACGUGAAAUUGUUGAAAGGGAAACGCUUGAAGUCAGUCGCGUCGACCGAGACUCAGCCUUGCCUUGGCUUGGUGUACUUCUCGGCUGACGGGUCAGCAUCAAUUUUGCCCCUUGGAUAAUGGCGAGGGAAAUGUGACACCUUUACGGUGUGUUAUAGUCUCUCGUCGCAUGCAAGGGUUGGGAUUGAGGAACUCAGCACGCACCUUUGGGUGUCGGGGUUUUGCCCACGAUACGUGCUUAGGAUGUUGGCGUAAUGGCUUUAAACGACCCGUCUUGAAACACGGACCAAGGAGUCUAACAUGCCUGCGAGUGUUCGGGUGGAAAACUCGUGCGCGCAAUGAAAGUGAAAGUUGGGACCUCUGUCGUGGAGGGCACCGACGCCCGGACCAGACCUUCUGUGACGGCUCUGCGGUAAAGCAUGUAUGUUAGGACCCGAAAGAUGGUGAACUAUGCCUGAAUAGGGUGAAGCCAGAGGAAACUCUGGUGGAGGCUCGUAGCGAUUCUGACGUGCAAAUCGAUCGUCAAAUUUGGGUAUAGGGGCGAAAGACUAAUCGAACCAUCUAGUAGCUGGUUCCUGCC
Molecule: ribosomal RNA, 766 nt
Filed under: uncultured Russula
Lineage: Eukaryota; Fungi; Basidiomycota; Agaricomycetes; Russulales; Russulaceae
Description: partial 28S ribosomal RNA
Rfam family: Eukaryotic large subunit ribosomal RNA
Source: RNAcentral